This is a non-coding RNA of Odocoileus virginianus texanus, 12292 nucleotides long. Lineage: Eukaryota; Metazoa; Chordata; Mammalia; Artiodactyla; Cervidae. The record is from RefSeq and is a predicted model, not a curated record.
CCUUUUUUUUCCUUUCCAUUUUGUCUUAUAGCAUCAGCUAGGGCUUCCUAUGUGAUGCUGAAUAGGAAUGGUGACAGGAGGGAACAUGCUUGCCUUGUUCCUGGUCUUAGAGGGAAAGCAUCUAGCUACUCACUUUUGAUUGUUAGUUGUAGGUUUGUGUAGAUGUCCUUCACCUAUUUGGAGAAAUUCCCCCUCUACUCCUAGCUUGCUGAGCAUUUUUUAUUGUGAUUGAGUGUUGGAUUUUGUUAAAUGCUAUUUCUUCUGUGUCAAUUAAUAUGAUCACAUGAUUUACCUCCUUUAGUCCAAUGAUAUGGUAGAUUACAUUGAUUUUUCAGAUGUUGAAACAGCCUUGCAUACAUGAAAUAAUAUCAUUUAGUUGCAGUGUGUUAUUAUUUUUAUACAUUGUUAAUUUCACUUGUUAAUAUUUUAGUGAGUUUUUACUUUGUGUCUAUAUUCAAGAAAGAUACAAGCCUGUGAUUUUUUUUCUUGUAUCUAAUUUUAGCAUUAAAAUAAUUCUGGGCUCAUUGAAUGAGUUAGGUAGUGUUCUACUUAAAAAAAAAUGUGGGGAAAUGAUAUUACUUCUUCCUUUAAUGUUUGGUAGAAAUCGCUUGUGAAACUGUUUGUAUCUGGUGAUGUCUUUGGAGAAAAGUUAUUAGUUAUUAAUUCAACUUAUUUAUAGAUAUAGGACUAGUCAUGUUAUCUAUUUCUCCUUGUGUGUAUUUAGAUUGUUCUUAAUCCUUCUGAAACUAUAAAAUAUGAAAAGUCUCAAAAACAGAUUGUAAAUCUAGAAAAUGGAAUGAAACAGGAACGGUUUAAAAAAAAACUUACAAAGUAAAGUCUGUUUUAAAAUUUUAAUCAAAUCAACAAGAAUAGAUCAUUCCAUUACUUAAUUUUUUUUUUCUGUUUAUAUAUUUGCUGUGUGUCCAUGUGUAUCAUCAUUUGUUACUCCAGGUUUUAACUUACUUUUGUAUUUUGAUAAUUGUAUGUUGUGUCAGGUCUUAUUUUAAAACUUUGCAUGUGAUUUUCUUGAUCAUUUAGAAUCAUUUUAUUUAUGAGAACUUGAAUCAUUCCAUCCCCUGAUCACAUUCAAUUUACAUUUAACAUUUAUUUUAGGGAUAUUCUCAGUAUUUUAGGGGUAUUCUCAUUAGGAACAUAUUCAAAAAACUUUUGUUUUCUUACUAUAUCUUGAUUAAAUCUGAAGCCACUAUAGUGUGGUUCCAAUUUACUUUGGUGUAAUAAUGGACUUUUGUGCACAACAGUGAUGUCUUAGAUUUUGUUUUUUAAUUGUUAAGUUUUAAAGAGAUAUGUGGUCUUUCUGGUCUCAGCUAGCUUGGGAAAUAAUGGAACUGCUUACCAAAAAUGCAAGAGAGACUAGCAAUUACAAUUUCACACAAAUAAUGAUGUCUCCAGGCACUUUAAGUCAAUGAUAUUAAGAAGCUGUAGGGUGACAAAAAUAUAUCAUAUUUUAUGAUAGAGUAACCUGUUUAUUAUUAAUACUUGAAUAUGUGAAAAUUAUCAAUGUUGUGCUAAUAUUCUAUCUAAUUUUACUAAAUCACUUGACAUUACCUAAUGCCUUGGCAUUCUGAAGUGCUCAACAAACAGUGCUAUUUUCCUCAGAAUUGACUGUUUGGCUUUCAGUUUGCUAACUAGACUAUUGGAAACAUGAGAUUGAGUGCUGUUAUUAUUUUGUUUUAAUCCCACACAACAGUUAGCCUAGUACCCCUGCACAGAGUGACAUUAAUUAGAAUUUUUGAGAGGAUAGAUGAAUGAACGCUAACAUCACAUGCCACCUGAUGCAUUGGUAACUUCAACUGUCUUUUCCUUACCUCUUCUGAUCAGGUGUAUUACUUCCCUAUGAGUAUCUUCAUUCUCCUUCUCACUCUAUAUGGAGAUCUCAUUGAUUCUUCAGGAAUCAAUGUUGGAAGUUGAUAACCUAAUCAACAAGAUGACUAAAUUAUCAUAUUCAUGGGUCUGCCCAACUUAUGGAGUAGUAUAUAAGGGUAUACCAGAGAUUGAGAAUCUCAGGGCUCUCUUAGAAUUCUGCCUGACACAGCAGCCCAAGUGUUCCUAUUCUAAUCCAUUUCCCAUCAUGAUCUUGCUACUCCCAGCUUUAUGUAGAUGGGGAGUCUGUUCUUGAUUAUCUGGGCAAAUAUGGUUUCCCCUGGGGAUGUUUUGAUUACCCCCUUGACUUAUUUUAUCUUUGAUUAUUUUCAGUCUCACUUUCUUUAACUUUAUCCAAACUUUCUUACAAGGCACCCACAUUUCUUUUUCUUCUUCCUUUAGAAUCUAUUAUCUUUGUAGAAUUUAUUUGAACUUUCCCCUUACAAAGACUAACCUUUGAUCAUUCCAACUCUUGAUAUGAAAUUUUUAUCUAGUACCAUGCCUCGGUUGUAAAUUAUCCAUGGAUCAGAACUAUCAUGCAAAAUAAAAAACCUGAGUAUAGAAACAAAUUGUAAUCAAGUAAUCUACAAUAAGAUAAUUUUUCACUCCUUUUAACUUAAACAUAUUAGUUUUCUCAGGCUGUGAUAAAAUAUACCACAGACUGGAUGACUUAAAAAGCUAACAUCUAUUUCUUAAGCUACUGCAAAGAAAUAAAUAAAAAAAUAAAAGUAGACGUUUAAUUAAAAAAAAAAAGCUACUGCAGAAGUACAUAUAGUUGUGUAAUUUGCAUGAUAGUUUCUUGGUAGAUUGUAACAGACCAUUCAGAGAAACAUGUUGAAUAUUUUUGUGGAUUGGAAGAGAGGCACACACAAAAACACACACAGAAAAACCAUUUUCCGACAUUUUAUCUGAUUCCAUGAGAAUUCUGAGCAACCAAUUUUACUCCGCUAUGAAGGAAGCCAGAUCCAAUGCAAACCUUUCAGGUUAAUGCAUGUAGUCCUUUCAGAAUGAGAUAGUAACUCAUUUGUCAUACAAUUCUAUCUUGACACGAAUUUUUAAUGAAUUGGGUCUUUCCGUUUACGUGCACCCAUCAAACCUAAUAGUUCACCCUCUCUAGAACCAUCCUCACUACUUUUCGUAAUUUCAAUCUCUAGUUUCUAAGAUAAGAAAACAAAUAUUAUUUUGUGGUCAGAAACAGCAACAAAGUAUACUUUCUAUUAAAGUAUGAGAAACAACUUUGCAAAACUCUCCCUGGUAGUACUUUUACAGUAUAUCAGAAACGUUUCUUUUUUGGUCAUCUUCUGACUGCACUGUGAACCGAAUUAGUUACAUUAAAAAAAUAAAAGUUUUACUGGCUAUUUGCCUGUAAAUGAAGAGACAUUCUUCUACCCUUGAGCAACAACAGAAAAGAUCCCUAAAUGAAAAAGAUGCUGUCCUCUCUCACCAUGGUUUUCUUUCCAUAAUUAGGAAUUUGGUCAGGAAUAAGAAUAACUUGAUUAUAGUCCAUGUUAUCACACUCCUGUCAACGUCUUGCUUUCUUCCACAUGUUGAAUGACUUCCUGACUUAUUUUCUGUGUAUAUGUAAUAUUUGGCUCCUAUCUUGUGUGCAAUAACUCUUGGUUAUCAGAUCUUUUCUUCCUGUUACAUCAGAUAAUUCUUAUGUUAUUAUUUAAACUGUGCUUCUCCUGACUAACUUCUCUUUAGUUUCCUUUUCACUUUAGGCACCCACUUUACCAAUGGGCGCAUUUUAAUCUUUUACAGUUCAUAAUUAAUUUUCACAUUCAGCCUAAUAGCGAAAUAAGGUUAGAAAUUUAGGAAAGAUAAAUGGGAUCACUUGGUACUUUUUCAUAUAAGGAGCACAAAUUACUUUUGUGCUCAGAUGCUGCUUCUGGAGGAGUCUGAAGUAGUAAGAACUAACUUUCAGAAUGAUUUGAGUCUCUGUACCCAUUCUACCAACUUUCCCUCUUGGUAGGGCUGAAGAAGUUUGGGUUGGGUUGAAUAGGUACCAUCUUUGUUCUUAGAAGUGCUUGGUUAGGGGUCUUGUUCUUGCCAUGCACAAGAGUUAUCUUAGUGUUAUUUGAAAACAUCUGAAGAAUUUAGGUUAGAAUUUCAAAGAAAAUAUGAAUCUUUGUAACCUUCAAAUCUGUUCUUCUGUGAAAGAAAAUGUCAGUCUUCUUUAAAUAGAUCGUGAAAUUAUUCCGAAUUACCAGAUGCAAAGGCUGAGCAACACACAGUACAGAUUUGCCACGAGGAAUAGGGUUAAAUUUUGCUCUCCAGUGACAAACCCCAGCCCAGAACAGAUUUUUAGCCACGCAGCUAGCAGAACUCGCUGGGUGAACUGCACAGGCCAUGGUGGGUGCCGAGCUCAGAGCCGGAAAGCAAACAGCUGCUGUAGCCUGAUUUCAGUUAAAAUAGUGUGAGUGUUUAGUCUGGCGCACGGCUUCAGGGGAGAUUGGCAGCUGGGUCAAACAAAGUCCUUCCAUUGGCUGUCUUCCCAGGCAGCUUCUGCUAGUAUUUAGGUACUAGUGCAGUGUAGGGCCCUUUCUCAGGCAAAACCUAACAUCUGACCGCACCCUCUCUUCUUUUUCCAGAAAAAAAAAAAAAAAGCAGAGAAAAAAGCUUCUUUUUCCUUCUUUCGUUAAGAUAAAUUCUCCAGUAGACAACCUCUCCCACUAAUUGUGUAUUAGCAGUGUAUUUUAUCUUGAGAGCUGACGCACUGGGCUCUCAACGUGGUGUGGAGGGCAGACUGUUCCAGGGUUGGAUUCAUAAAAGGGCCUUUAUGGUUUGUGAAAGAAUAUCUGUGUGCUUAGGCAGGAAACUUUUUGAUCUGCAGGAAAGCCAGAAGACAUCUAGGUAAGGCUGCGUAUCAAAUCUACUUUUGGGGGGAAAUCUUGGGCAGUGAGAAUGAAUCAUUACAAGCGACGUGAGCUUGGAGUGUGCCUGUUCACUUCUGUAGAAGUUUAAAAGGAUAUCCUUGAAGAUUAGUCACAGAGCCUCUUAUGUGCCUAUAAAGGCAUUUGAACUGGGCAAACAGGACGGCAGCAGCAGUGAGCGUGAGAUCAUUGCAGCAGUGCAGCAAACUGGCAUCCUGCCUUCUCACCCUUUUGGUUCAGGAGACAAACGUGUGCAGUCCUCAUUUCUAAAGUCAGCAGAGGCUGGAAGGAUUCCUGGUCUCUCCCACCUUCUACCAUUCUUCUGCCAGGGACGGCAAGGAUUGGUGCAGCUUCUGCGCAGCGCUUUGUGCCUGCAAUACCGAGAAGGAAGAAAAAGAAGACAGGCACCCUGGCCCUCUUUUUUUCCCAAGAAAUAACAGGAGGCAUGAAGAAAAAAUCUGAGUUUGUCCUACUCCAUGCAACAGUGCUGAAAAAAAAAAGAGAGAGAGAGAGAGAUGCUCCUGCUCAAAAACAAAAACAAACAAACAAAAAUCCAAACCAAAACAAACUAAAAAAAAAAAAGCAAACAUUGGCUUGUAUUUAACUACAGAGACAUCGCGCUUUGUAAAGCAGCUUUGUAAGGCAGCAUAAGCAAAUGAGCCUUCUGUAUUUGUAUUAUUGCAAAAAUAUGGCAUAAUAAGCAAUUUAUUGCACUUGGUGAAAUCGCACCUUUCGUAUCAGGGAAAAACUUAAAGUGGAUAUGAGAAGUGAAGAAAGUGAUCAUAGGAGAAAAUCAUCUCAGAUCAACCACUUGAGAAGAACCAGAUUCCACUUCUGUGGCCAGGACUUUUAUGUUAUGGCUGGUCUGAUUGUUUUACCCUGCGUUCUAUGCUUCUAAACCUUGGAUCAUUCCUAAAGUAUAAAUUCUGUUCUCGAACCACAAACAAGGCUAAAAGAUCGGAAGAAAUUCAGUGAAUAUACAGGAUUGGAAUUGUGUAUUUUCAAAAGUGUUGAGCUUUAUAAUGCAAUUAUUUAAAGAUAGAGUCUUUUAUUUUCUUAUGUUGCCAGCAUUUUAAGUUACAUGUUUAUUAAGUGGCACUGCUCAAAUAACUCAGAGUAUGCAUGGAAAUAUUGGCUGUCUGAAUAGUUUGGUGAUUCAAAGAGAAAUAGCAAGCUGCAGAGGUACUAAAUUAUGACAUGCAAAAAAAGUUUUUGUUUUAUUCUUAACUGCAACAAUGUGUGUAUAUAUACAUAUACACAUAUAUAUAUGUAUUAGAUUCAAAGUGUUAUAUAUCCUGGGCCCACCUUACAAGUUGUGGUGUAUAGGCGUAUAAUGGGAAGCAAAAUUUCAAUUAGGUCCCAUUAACCGGCAUAUAAUCCUUCUUUAAUGUAAUAGAAGCUAUGGUGUUGCUGUACAAAUUUGCUACAAACAGAUUUUUAACCCAUUUUUGGUCUCUUUCUUAGAUCUAAUGGAAUGACUCUUAACUGUUCAUUAUCUGCAUUGUUCCUUACAUUCUUCAUUAUUUUAAGGUCUGAAAUUAGUCUAUCAAUGGUUGUUGUGAAUAUUCAGCUCAUCCUAACUUAUAUAUACCAUACAUAUAUCUAUAUGUCUACAUAUGUAUUUUCAUUAGUAUUUAGAGGGAAAAGUUAACUGAACCCAACUGUAAUUUCUAAACUAGCCUUAUUACUGGAAGAAGAAUUCUACCGCAUCAAACUGGACUUUUCCUAGUCCCUGAGACCCUAACUUGUGAGGUAUUUUAGUAACAUCACAAGUCAGGCUCUUGGGACCUAGGCGGAGGGAACUAGCACCUUUGGACCUUACUGACUGUCUGCAGUUACCGUCAGAACAAAAGAACACACAUAGAUUCUGCCUAGGAGAAAAGAACAAUGCUCUUAUUUAUAAUCAGCAAUGUUAUCACCAUGACCCACCCCCAAAAAUGCUAUUUUCAGAAACUGUACUCUAAAGUGAUGACAGAGUUGCACAGAAAUAGCAUUUGUAUUAUAUCAUAAUGACCAUAUAAAAGCAAUAUAAGAUAUCUAUGUAAGAAGCAGAAUUAAAAUUCAGUGUUUUUGAAAUGCUUCUUUUGGUGUGUUUUCAGGUGGCUAGCCCAAGAGAGUAACUCCUUGGUUAAUAAUGAAGAGAGUGUUUUAUAUUUAUAUCUUUUUUCUUAUGCAUAAAGAUAUAUGCAUUAGCUACUUAAAUAAUUCCUACAUGUUUUCGUAACUGUGGCUGAAAAUAUGUCAUAUAUAGCUCUAGACAUGCUUGAGGCCUAGAAAUAAAAUGAUUUGCCGUCUUCUUUAUUUGACCCUGUUAGAUUUUAUACUGAUUUAAGAAGAAUGAUGUUUUAUACUUGGUAUUUGUUGCCAGAGUUUUCUUUAGUCUUUUUAACCAGACAAAAUGCUUGAAAUGUCUUAUAAUAAGACAUUGUCUUGUUAUAGGAGUAUGAAUUACCAUAAUUAGCAGGAAUAUGCUAUCUUUUAAUUUUUGUAUUUUACUUGGCAUAUAUCAUGGAUGUAUGUGAGAAAAUUUAGUAAACACCACCUAUGAAGUCAAAUUGUUCUAGUUAGUCUAUCAAUUGAAUCUGAACUGCAGACUUACACUUUUAUGAGAAUUUUAGUCUAAUAUGAGGUAGCUAUUCCAACUAUAACAUGUCACACUUGAACAUUAUUAGCUAUUGCCAUAUCAAAUGUGCAUUUUUGAAAACAGAAUCUUACAUUAAAUCUAUUUUUAAAUUUUAUAAUUAUGUUGCAGAUAUUAAGAUUCAAAAUGGAGGCGAGAGAUUUUUCCAUAAUAGAAGAAACAAGAUCAUUUCAUUCUUUAAACUCUGUUGCUUUACAGGGGUACUAUAAAUUGUAUAUAUCUUCUCACUUUUAAAAUAAAUCUCAGGAUGUGUUUUAGAAUACUGUAAUGAAGUCUUUGUCCACAUUGUUAUUGGAUUUGUUAGAAUUACAUAUUAUUUGAAAUAUCACAGAAUACAAAACACUCAUGAGUUAUAUUUCCUAAAAAAUUGUUGUUGAAAUAUCAUAAACAUACUCCCCAUCCAUACGGGCACAUAGAAUGUGUUUAAGCAUGUAUUUAAGCAUGUAUCCACCCUGUAUCUUUUCAGAUUUUUUAUUUAUAUCACCUACUUCAUUAGUCUAAUAUCUCAAAAUUUUAAGUAUGUGUAGGUAUAUCAACAUGUUUUAAAACUUCAAAGGAACAGAGAUAAUAUAAGCUAUAAAGUUUUAGGUAGUAUUUAUUUUUUACUUCUUUUAACUUUAUUUUCAUUGUAAUUAAGCAUUGUUAAAAACAUAAGCUACUCAGUACAAAGAACUCUAUCUAUCUACAAGUACACAGAAACUUGCUUAUAUUUAAACAGCAACAUUUACCCAAUGGAUCAGAAAGUGUCUCUCACAUAAAACAACACCACAUGUAGGUAUAUGUUUACAAACACCUGUUUUAAUAGCAAUAUGUAUGUAUAAUGUGUUCCAUCACUUUGAUUCCAAAAUGAUGUAAAGGAUAGAUGUUUGUUGGCUUUAAUGUUAUCAAAUAUAAGCUAUCUCAUAUGCCGGAUUUUUUAUGUCAUCGUAUUUAUGAAUCACACUAUAUAUUAACUUCUGUUUCAUAGUCAGAAGAUACCAAAGCUAGACUUAAAGUGCAACUGUGUUUAUUUUCCACAUAAACAUAUAAAUAUAUAUAUAUAUAUAUGUUACUAAUCAUCAUGCAUUCUAUGAACCCUCUGUAUGUAAUGUUUGAUAUGUGAACUAUCUGUUCUGAUUGCAUCAUUGAUAAAGCUUUUCUCUUACUCUAUAAAGGUAAGUAGAGAUAUAAGUGAGUAACUUUGUUCAUAUAAAUUACUUUAUGCUGUAUAUGAAGAGAUGGAUGCCACUUUUUCUGCAUUUCUAUCUUAGCUGUCACAGGAUGAUAUUGUUUGAGGGCUGUAUAAAAUGAUUUGGAAAAUCAGAUCUUACUAAGCUUAAAAUAAAGGGAGAGAUCUACAACAAAGAGCGAGAAAAUGAUGUGUGUUGCAUACAAAAAAAGCAGUGAUAUUAACAAUUCUAUGGCUUCCUGGUUGGGAGACCAGUCUGAGCCAGACGCAUAUAUUAAAGGCUGUCUGCCGCCGAUGUGAGCUUGCUCAAUGCGGUGGAAAUGAGGAAUCACCUCCUCUCUGACACCAGCUUAUUUUUACAUUUUAAUUUUGAAAUAGCAAAUCACUGUUUUACGUAAACAUACUAACCCCUGCUUGAUUCUUUGCCUUUUUUCACAUUGUUUGCUGAUUUACUGUCAACUUCCAGCUCUGGUUUUUUUUUUUAAUUAUCAUUCUCUCACCUUAAACAUCUAUCAAAUACCAAAGACAUAUUAGUUUUUCUUUUGUCUCUUUUACAUUGCUAUGUUAAUAUUGUGAUACCCAUGCUUUAAACUUUUAAUCUCUGUAAGGAAAACAGCAGUUUUUCAAAAUUGGCAUUUUUUAAAGCCUUUUAGGAUCCAUCAAGGAAGCCACUUCUGGAAUUUUGCCAAAUCUAAAUAUGAUUAUAUUUCAUUUCUGGGUUCAUGGGGUCAAUAUCUUUCUGAGUAUAAAAGUCCUUAACACUUUAGUAUGCCAGUAAAGCUUCAGUAGAAGUGCAGAGAUUAAGCUACAUUAAUAAUGUCUAGAAGAGGUAUAGGUGUCUCAGGGGAAUUAUAAUACAGGUUAAUUACUAAUGAAAUUACAAGUGGUAUAUACUGCCUUAAAUUCCUUAAACUCAAAUGGACAUGCUAGUACAUGUGCCCAGACUUAGUCUAAUUCACCUGAUGAAUAUUUAAAAGGUUUUGCAAGUUGUUAUGUUUGGAUGAGUUUCUAGAAAAGCAGUACGUAAAGGGUUAACUAAUGCCCAAAUACUCUUGCCAUUUACACAUGCAAUGCAGCCUACAUUUCGGUAGGCAGCGAGUGCAGGCAUCAUUUUGAUUACUUAGAUUUUUUGUUUAAUUUCUUACUAGACAUUUAACGUAGCACUGAAACCCCACUGAUCCAUCCCUUAGUGGCUGUAUUUAGAAAAGGAAAACAAAGUUCCUAAUAUAGAGAAGUUUUCAAAAAUCCUGGGCAUUUGUAAGCUUUUGAAAAAUAGGCUUUUUACUGCAACUCUGCAAAUACAUAGUAUGUGGAAACUUAGGUGCUAACAUUAUCUGUCGUCUCCAUAUUUAGUUUUUUAUCCCUCAGUGACCAACUACACUCUGAGAUAUUAUAUGCAUGUAUAUUAAUACACAUUAGCAUAUGUACUUAAUACAUACUUUAAUGUAUAAAUUAAUAUGUGUUAAUAUACAUAUUUAUAUAUUCAAAGAUAUCUUAAUUUUUUAAAUCUUUGAUAAAAAUAGUAUGAAAAUUGAAAAUUUUUCAUAGAAUUAUCCACAAUAUUUCUUCAAUGUGUUAGCUUUGAUUUUCAUUGAAUGUUGCUUUUUUCCCAGCUUUAUCAGGUAGAGUGCAUUCAUUACUAGCCAAUAAUAUUAAGUUGUAUGUAAUGUCUUACUUGUAGCAGUUUGGAAGCAGGUGGAACUUGAAGGUAAUUGAGAUUAAGUGAAUUUAAGAUGAAAUAGUUUUAUAUAGUCAGCUAAUGCAUACAUAUUUUAUAAAGAAUUUCAAAGUGAAAAAUUAUCAUAUGGUGAAAUAAGUUUUUCAUUGUAUCUGAUGUUAGAAAUAUGGUUUUAAGUGUUACCUUAAUAAUUAUUCCUAAACAAAACUAGAGUGAAAAAUAAUCAUGGACUAUAUCUGUUAGGUCAGCUAAAUGAGAAUAAUAAUUCCUAGAUUUCAUCUUGGCCUUUUGGGUUUCUGGGGCAUUUUAGGUCUUUGAUGCAAAGUGGACUUAACCAUUUCACUUUUCUAAGAAGUUUCUUCCUCUCUCCUGGUAGGUGUCUGACGAUUUGUGAACCCCAGAUGACUAUUCUGUGGAGUCAUCUUUCCUUGCCUUUGAAUUAGCUUUCCCUAGGCCAUGAGUCAACAUCAAUAUUUUAUACAUCCAAAUUGGAUUACAGGUUGUAAAGAGGAUGAAAACUUGGUCUCACUAGUGACACAUAUUUGUCACCGCUGAGGAAAGAUUUUGCUUGAGAAUGAAGCCCAUGUGAGUUUCCAAUUCAUAAAUACAACUUAUCAACUUAAAAAUAAACUAUUAAUUUGUUAAUUCAUCCAUUCACUCAUAAAUGUAAAUUUAACAUAAAAUAACUCAAUGAAUUAAGGCUGAAUCAUCGUGACCAAUAAAGAUGUGACCAUUUAACAAAAUUUGAUUGACUUUAAAAUAAAAUGUCAGAUAUGUGAUUAGUAGGUAUAGAUACUAAGCAUUUAAUAAUAAAAAGUAGUUGUCUUCAAUACAUUAGAUGAAGCUUGAUUCAUAAUUUACCAAGCAACUGAACUCAUUUACAGUUAUGUUUUAAUGACAUUUUAAUAUCAAGGACUUCAGAGGACUUCAGGAUUGAUCAACAAAAUAAUUCAAGUAAAUUCCUUAGCUCAGUGCCUAGCACCAAGAAAUUGCUUCUGCUAAACAGACUAUUUUUUUUCAUCACCCAAAUUUACCAGAUGUACAAUGUUCCAAAGGAUGAGAUUCAGACACCAAUAGGGAAUCAUUUCAGCUCCAGGGCACUCACAAAUCAUUUAUCAUAAAUAUCUUUAUCAAGGGUUUUCUGAGUGUCAGUUGUAGGAAAGGAAAAGAGGAAUUCUGCUCUUAAAUAGAUUAUCAUCUACAAAAGCUGUCUUUCACUUUUCUCACACUUUUGUGUCCUUUAUGUGUGCCUUAGCCUUUCAUAAAUUCUGUACUUUGGAGGCUUUAUUCUUUUUCAGAUUUUAUGGAUUAACAUUUUAUGAGGCUUGUCCUAUUUUCUAGGUGUAUAUGAGAUAACCUGUCUGUAUAUUUGGACAAGAUGUGGGAUAUUGCUUGGAUUUCCACUGCCUAGAGUCUGGUCAUGUUAUCCCCUAUACUCUGCAAAGUUCUGGUGAUUAAGAACCAUAGUUAGACCAUGACAAUGUUAAUAACUGUGGUUUAUAAAGAUGGCACUUCCAGAAUAAUUGGACCAAAAUGAAGUAUUUACGUAUGUUGUCAGUACAUGUAAAAAAAAAAAAAAAAAGCUGUCAUUUAAUUUCUUUUAAGAAAGAACUAAAUUGGAUAUAAUGAUAUUGAUCAGGCAGAGUUUCAUAAAACAGCAAUUACAUUAAUUAGUCAAAAGAUCAAAACAUUUUAAUUGGGCUAUUCUCUGGGAGUUAACAAAAUAUGCAGAAUAAACUUGGAGUUUUAGACUUUUGCAUCAUAAAAGUCACCACUGAACUAGAAUAGUGAAGCAGAAAUAGAAAGCCAGAAUAUUAGUACAACUUUUACCGCUAGUUAUGGAACUGAACUUCUCUCCUCUUCACUUUUUAAAUUUAUGAUUGAUUUACAAAAUAAUGAUUUUCAGGUUAAAAUUGCUGUAUCAUUAGAUGGUUACAUAUCUUUUCCAACCCACAGAAGACUUUUCGAGUCAUGUUAGCAAGGACUAGCAUUAGCUUGUACUGUGUGCUAAGUCACUUCAGUUAUGUCCGACUCUUUGCCACCCUAUUGAC